GAGUUUGAUCAUGGCUCAGAUUGAACGCUGGCGGCAUGCCUUACACAUGCAAGUCGAGCGGCAGCGCGGGGGCAACCCUGGCGGCGAGCGGCGAACGGGUGAGUAAUGCAUCGGAACGUGUCCUCUUGUGGGGGAUAACCAGUCGAAAGACUGGCUAAUACCGCAUGAGAUCGAGAGAUGAAAGCAGGGGACCGCAAGGCCUUGCGCGAGAGGAGCGGCCGAUGCCGGAUUAGCUAGUUGGUGGGGUAACGGCCUACCAAGGCGACGAUCCGUAGCUGGUCUGAGAGGACGACCAGCCACACUGGGACUGAGACACGGCCCAGACUCCUACGGGAGGCAGCAGUGGGGAAUUUUGGACAAUGGGGGCAACCCUGAUCCAGCCAUGCCGCGUGUGUGAAGAAGGCCUCGGUUGUAAG
RNAcentral lists this ribosomal RNA (416 nucleotides) under uncultured beta proteobacterium. RNAcentral's name for it is "bacterial SSU rRNA". It matches the Rfam family "Bacterial small subunit ribosomal RNA", at positions 9 to 429 of the family's 1533-position model. The record is from RNAcentral. Lineage: Bacteria; Pseudomonadati; Pseudomonadota; Betaproteobacteria.